Long non-coding RNA from Ictalurus punctatus (channel catfish), 1033 nucleotides. Lineage: Eukaryota; Metazoa; Chordata; Actinopteri; Siluriformes; Ictaluridae. The record is from Ensembl.
UUAAUCCCCAGUGUUAAUUGUUGUGUUAAGUGUCUGCAUUAAUCCCCAGUGUUAAUUGUUGUGUUAAGUGUCUGCAUUAAUCCCCAGUGUUAAUCCCCAGUGUUAAUCCCCAGUGUUAAUCCCCAGUGUUAAUCCCCAGUGUUAAUUGUUGUUGUUAAUCCCCAGUGUUAAUUGUUGUGUUAAGUGUCUGCAUUAAUCCCCAGUGUUAAUCCCCAGUGUUAAUCCCCAGUGUUAAUCCCCAGUGUUAAUCCCCAGUGUUAAUCCCCAGUGUUAAUUGUUGUUGUUAAUCCCCAGUGUUAAUUGUUGCGUUAAGUGUCUGCAUUAAUCCCCAGUGUUAAUCCCCAGUGUUAAUCCCCAGUGUUAAUCCCCAGUGUUAAUCCCCAGUGUUAAUUGCCAGUGUUAAUCCCCAAUGUUAAUUGUUGCGUUAAGUGUCUGCAUUAAUCCCCAGUGUUAAUCCCCAGUGUUAAUUGUUGCGUUAAGUGUCUGCAUUAAUCCCAGCGUUAGUCGUCUGCGUAAAUCUUCUACAUAUAUAUUCAGUGUUAAUCCUCUGCGUUGAUUGCCAGCGUUUGGUGUUAUCUCAGCGUUCUGCUUGCUAACAGAACUUGUAGCUGCAUGAUUGAAGAUCUUUAACAUUUUUUCCCACAUGACGUUUUGAAUCUUGAUAAACGUGUUGAGUACGGCCGCCGCGUUCCUGUCCGCUUUCCUCUGAUGUUCAGCGUGCGAGUUUUCUGCCGUCGCCCGGAGAACAUGAGGACUGGAGCUGAUCCUGGAUCAGUGCUGAGACGUUCGGAUGAAUGUGAGACUUGGGCGAGACGCUACAGGAGUAAAGGAGGACGCUGUGGCGAAAGAGGAGUGUAAGAGGAAGUAGAAAGCGCUGAAUGGAUGGAGUGAAAAGGUGGAGAGAGAAAAAGGAGGGAAAGAUAAAAAGCGAGUGAGCGGGUUGGAUUUUCCCAGCCUGAACGCUUUUAUCACGUUCCUCGAGGGAGUUAUCGGAUUUGCUCCGCACUGCUGAGCGAGAGAAGAGAGAAGAGAG